GUCCUAGCCGUAAACGAUGGACACUGAGUGAAGGAGGGCUUGCCCUUCUUUGCUGCAGCUAACGCGUUAAGUGUCCCGCCUGGGGAGUACGGCCGCAAGGUUAAAACUCAAAGGAAUUGACGGGGGCUCGCACAAGCGGUGGAGCAUGUGGUUCAAUUCGAUGCAACGCGAAGAACCUUACCCGGGCUUGAAGUGGAGGUGGUAGAAACCGGAAACGGUAACGACCCCGCAAGGGGAGCCUACAUCAGGUGUUGCAUGGCUGUCGU
RNAcentral lists this ribosomal RNA (266 nucleotides) under uncultured bacterium. Its description in RNAcentral is "partial 16S ribosomal RNA". It matches the Rfam family "Bacterial small subunit ribosomal RNA", at positions 793 to 1055 of the family's 1533-position model. The record is from RNAcentral.